CACCAAGAUGAUCUCUUUCAAAAGAACUGCAGGAGAAGUUUCUAAAACACUGUGAAUGGUACGGAGCAAAGUCGACCAGGCUUCGUUAUAGAAAGCAAUGAUAACAGAGGUGGUAGGAAGUGUCCUAUAGUUGAACUUCUGGGACUUACACUCAUACAUUCUUUUAUCCUCUAUGUGUCGAUGCAGGGAAAUCCUGUCACUGAGGUAAAUAUUGAUGGCGUAUCUCUCAAUGAGUUCUUCUUGCUGCUUCAGUUCAUCCUCGUUGAGCUGGAGUUUGCUGGCUUUCCCCCACUCCCCAAGUGCACGGGAAUCUGCAGGGGGCUUCUUAUAAAGCGGUCGAGACAAAUCCUCCGUAUUUUUCUGGAGGUCUGAGAGCCUUCUUGACCCCAGCUCCCUGGCACGGCCGGCUCCUGCGGAGGCAUGAAAAGUAGAGACCAAGAGCUCCACGAAGAUAUAGGCCACUGUUAAAAACGCCAGCAGCAGGCAGCUCUUGCCUGCCCAAGUCCACCUCACCGCCAUCCGGAUUCUCAGGGCUGAGGCGCAGACGCGGCCACCAAGCCACCACGCAGGGGAAGGGCGGCGGAACCCACAGCUCGAGCUCAGGUGAUUCUGACGCAGGCGCUCCACGGAAACCCUCCGAGAAUUCUGGGGGCCGUGGGGCCGCCCAGCUCAGUCCGGAGCUCCGGAACUCGGGGAAGAGCGUCCGGGAGCCGGGUCUGGGUUCCGCACUCCGUCCGCCCCGAUGGCAGAGAGUGAGAUACGGACGCCCCGGGACGAGGGGCUCAGGACCCGGCUACGGACACCUGCCUCCAUCUCCCUCCAGAUAACACAAGUGUGAAGAGAGGGGAGAGCAGCAAAGGCUGAGCUGCGUGUGCCUGGUCCCUUCCAGACUUUCCAGAUAACUUUGCCCCACGGAGGACAAGGAAAGCCAAAAGAGAGAAGCCAGGAUUGUUAGUCUUGGAAAAUGCCUCCAUAUAGAAACAUGAGCCGGAGAAUAAAUCACUUGCCUCUCUAACCAGUUGGAUUUGGUCCGUGAGUUCCUAGUUUUGUUCACCUGACUUAGUCCCUGACUUUUAAAGUCAAGUGCAUCAACAUGCUGCCAGUACUUUGAUGAACAUCUAUACAGGAUCCAUCUCUACAGCAGUGAAUUCCACCUGGGGUAAAGUAUGCAUGUAGGUUAGGAUGCUACAGUGGGACUCUGUCUGCUUUUUCUGUCUGUUUCUGCUAAGGCCUCCACACAUUAGAUGGUCAGUACUCUUUGUUCUAUGGGAAGGGCUAGAAUACCUAAACAGGACUUUCA
This 1300-nucleotide long non-coding RNA is filed under the name Homo sapiens (human). RNAcentral describes it as "long non-coding RNA NONHSAT029817.2". The record is from RNAcentral. Lineage: Eukaryota; Metazoa; Chordata; Mammalia; Primates; Hominidae.